RNAcentral lists this long non-coding RNA (264 nucleotides) under Lathyrus oleraceus (garden pea). RNAcentral describes it as "Pisum sativum (pea) long non-coding RNA (PSAT_LNC025137)". Lineage: Eukaryota; Viridiplantae; Streptophyta; Magnoliopsida; Fabales; Fabaceae. The record is from RNAcentral.
AAAAGAGAGAUCACACCCAAAUUGUAUCAAAGGUUUGAUCAAGUCAUCAUCAAAAUCAAUCAUCUCCUUUGGUGGAUUAGGGUUUUCACCCCAUCAACACCAGAGAUCCAUUGAGUUUCAGGAGACCUAUGAUCAAAACAAUCAUGAUCCAUGUUGAACAGAAGUCAUCAAAGGUAAAAGAAAUACAAAAUGAAAUAAAAUAAAAUAAAAGGCAUGAAAAACAUUAUUCAAAAUGAAUUUUAAAACGGAAAUAAAAGAGAAAAU